Girardinichthys multiradiatus is the source of this 458-nucleotide long non-coding RNA. RefSeq lists it as uncharacterized. NCBI's taxonomy places the organism in Eukaryota, Metazoa, Chordata, Actinopteri, Cyprinodontiformes, Goodeidae. The record is from RefSeq and is a predicted model, not a curated record. The transcript is spliced from 2 exons.
UUGCUCAUCAGCGAGCAAUCAACCUGGGCUCAAAAGGAGUGGCGAUCCAGAAGGAGGCGUCAACUCGUUGUCUCACAAGUGUGGAAAUGUUUCUACCUGAGUUUCUGUGGGCUUAAUGUCUCCUGCCUUGUUCAGAUGAAUGUGGAAGUUCAAGCCUCAAAGAACGUUGGCUGUAUGUCUUUCUGCCUCCCUCCUGGACCCGGGCUUCUGGAAAUAACGUUUUAUCAAGCUUCUGAGAACCAUCCACCUGCCUGUCCACCCUCCCAUGGAUCAUCGUUUCCCUAUGGGGCCCGCUGAAUGGAGUAAAGCACAAAGUCAGAAGAACGAGGAAGUACUUUUCUCCGCUGCUGGACCCUCGUGUCAACCUCAACCAUCGUGUGAGAUCCCAAUCCUGUCCGCUGACCCAGUCCGGAUUCCAGAACGAACUGUUUGUGAAGAAAUAAACUGUUUAAACGCUG